This 435-nucleotide ribosomal RNA is filed under the name uncultured Lachnospiraceae bacterium. RNAcentral's name for it is "bacterial SSU rRNA". It matches the Rfam family "Bacterial small subunit ribosomal RNA", at positions 341 to 792 of the family's 1533-position model. The record is from RNAcentral. Lineage: Bacteria; Bacillati; Bacillota; Clostridia; Lachnospirales; Lachnospiraceae.
ACGGAAGGCAGCAGUGGGGAAUAUUGCACAAUGGGGGAAACCCUGAUGCAGCAACGCCGCGUGAGUGAAGAAGUAUUUCGGUAUGUAAAGCUCUAUCAGCAGGGAAGAUAAUGACGGUACCUGACUAAGAAGCCCCGGCUAACUACGUGCCAGCAGCCGCGGUAAUACGUAGGGGGCAAGCGUUAUCCGGAUUUACUGGGUGUAAAGGGAGCGCAGGCGGUAACGCAAGCCAGAGGUGAAAACCCGGGGCGCAACCCCGAGGAUUGCCUUUGGAACUGGGGAACUGGAGUGCUGGAGGGGCAGGCGGAAUUCCUGGUGUAGCGGUGAAAUGCGUAGAUAUCAGGAGGAACACCGGUGGCGAAGGCGGCCUGCUGGACAGUAACUGACGCUGAGGCUCGAAAGCGUGGGGAGCAAACAGGAUUAGAUACCCUGGUA